This is a long non-coding RNA of Macaca mulatta (Rhesus monkey), 1760 nucleotides long. The record is from Ensembl. Lineage: Eukaryota; Metazoa; Chordata; Mammalia; Primates; Cercopithecidae.
AAAGAACUCAGCUGUCUCUCAGCUCAUAGGCAUCCUUUUUAUUCAAAAUAUUCUGAUUUGCAACUAAUGACUUUUGGUGUUUUUUAGUUAUCAGUUGGCCUAUUUUUGUUGGUGGAGUUUAUUUUUUCUGUAAACAUUCUUAUUCAUUUUCAAGUUAAAUAAAAUCUGACUUUUAUCCCCAAAGGAACUUAGAUUUCAAACCCGUGACUUGAGCAGGAUUUUGGUUGGAGUUUGGGUUUGACUCAUCUCUUUGAUUAAAGACUUAUCUUCUUCUAAAUAACAUGUCUUAAUAGUUACUCUUUCCCUUUCUAGACCUUCUAAAUUUAGAUAAAUGAGACCAAUUAUUGCUUCCAGAAUGUUCAGUUUCUACUCUGGUCCUAGAAUUUGAUCUCGAAGAGAUGUUGAUUUUCUUCCUGUGGAAUCAUUUAAAUUCUGCAUUUUCCCAGUUGGUGUCUUUAUGGAAGGGGAGGAGGACUGUGGGCGGGGCAGGCUGGCUGCUUGCUAACCAGGAGACACAAGGAGGGGAUUUCAGCCUCCUGGGAGCCUGGUUGUGACCCACAGAGACCUCACCAGCUGCAGGCAGAGGGAUGGCCUGCAGCAAGGUAGCUGGUGCGUGAACAAGCCUAUGAGAUCAUCAUGUCUGUGGACACCCAGGUGUACUUCCCACAUUCCUCAUAGUGGAGAGAAAGGCUUCCCUCACAGGUUUUCAACAAUUUGUGCCCAAUAUGAAGCCAAAGAAACCUUCUUGACUCCAUUCAUGUGGCUAUUGGUCUUCACGCUGUAGCAGAUGUCUUUAAAAGAGAUGGUCUUCAGCCCUUCACCUCAGCUAAAGGUUGGUACAUGCCAAGGAUAGGAGGUUAACAAUGAAAGGAAGGGUUGUGGGCCAACCAUGAGGGGAAUUUAGGAAGGAGGUGCCCACAACUUAUGGUGUCUGGUUGGCUAUAACGUAUCCAAGAAUAAUUUAUUGAGUACUUACAUGUAUUAGCCACCGUGAUAGGUGUAAUGGGAUAUGCAUAGGUAAACACCGCUAUCAAAGAGUUUAUAGCCUUCUGUGGAAAUGACAGACCUGCAAAUAACUGUUAUGAAGACAGAAGGAGGGACAUGAGUACUGAGGAUUGCCAUGAUAAGUCCAGCAGCCCAGGACCCUAACAGAAGGCCCCCUGUACACCAGGCUACAUGUUCUCAAGCUUCCUUUUGGUAAGGUCAAGUAGUUGGGGAGGGCAGUGUAGGGAAUUCUUUGUGGGAGUUUACUGAAAUAAGAUUAUUCUGAUUGCAGAAGAAGUCAGAUCUCGUGGGGAGGAAUUUGAAUAAAGCAUGUGCCUACUCGCUGACCUUUCCUGACAAGGCACAUGUGUGUUGAAGGGGGAGAAUGCAUCAAGCGCAAGAUGUUAGCCUUCACUCUUCAGUGCCUCUGUGGCUGCAAAGACUGAAGAAUCAUGUUAUGCAUACCCCGGGAAAGUUUCUGACCUAAGAGUGAGCGAGUUUACGAUGGAUGGCUGAGUAUCAGGAUCAGAUUAAGUAACAGGAGUCAACUAUUAAGGGGAACUAGGCAUCAUUUUUUACCCAGGUAUGUAUGGUUCUUUAGAUCUUGUUACAUAAUGUGUCGCUUCCUUCACUUGUCUGUUUUAGAGUGAUUACUUAAAAUUGUAGUGUAUCAGACUGGAAAGUGACCUUAAUCAUGUUAGAAGACUCUCAGUAACAUAACAGCCUAAGUUAAUGGGAUUGAUCAUCCCCCCUUUAACUUAGAACAUGUAGACAUG